Molecule: long non-coding RNA, 737 nt
Filed under: Ananas comosus (pineapple)
Lineage: Eukaryota; Viridiplantae; Streptophyta; Magnoliopsida; Poales; Bromeliaceae
Description: long non-coding RNA (ACOM_LNC041407)
Source: RNAcentral
AAUUCUUUAUAAUAUUUUUUUUAUAAACUUUGUUGCAGAGUCAUCGUACUGUUACAGGAUUGAGAGGCAAACCCUUUCCAUAUUUGGAGCAAUUAUCCUUAGUAUUUGGAAAAAAUCGCACAACUUGUGCUGGUGCAAAAUCUGCUGCUGAUACUGCAAGGAACAUCAAAGAGAAAGAGUUAAUGACAUAUGCAUCUACCCAAGAACUUGAUGCCAAGGCAUUUUUUAUGAACAAAGAAGUGGUCGAGCAAAAUCUGCUGAUGACACUGCAAGGAACAUCAAAGAGGAAGAGUUAAUGACAUAUCCAUCUACCCAAGAACUUGAUGCCAAGAUAUUAUUUAUGAACAAAGUAGUGGUCGAGCAAACACUUCGAAUGGUGGCACAUCAGGAAGAUCAAAGUAGUGAAAGUCACCACUUGGAGAGGAUUCGAUCAAUGAACAAAAUUCUGCUCAACCUUGCGCUCACUUGAAACUUCAUUUAACGAUACCAAUGAGCACUUAGGUCGGCUUGCUAAUUUCUUUCAAUUCAUGGCAAACAAUGAGAACAAGAAGUUGUUCAAAGAGAUACUAAAGAUCGAGGGACAUUAGGACGGGCACAUAAUGGAUGCCAUUGAAAUCCUAACAAGUGAUUCUACAAAACUACAUAUAUUUUACUCGAUGCCUGAUCGUCACAGGAAGCAAUAUAUUUUUCGUAUCUUAUGUGGGAUUGAUUGAAGAAAUUGCAUUAUUUGAUUAUGG